Small nucleolar RNA from Scatophagus argus, 148 nucleotides. RefSeq annotates it as small nucleolar RNA U109. The transcript has a single exon. The record is from RefSeq and is a predicted model, not a curated record. NCBI's taxonomy places the organism in Eukaryota, Metazoa, Chordata, Actinopteri, Scatophagidae.
CUGCAUGUUUUGGCCUUUGGGCAUUUUUGGCCUCUCGAUUUCUAUAGAGAGGACAAGAACAAACAUGCUAGAUUAACACUUUGGGAGUUAACAGGGCCACCAGUCUCUCAAGGUCAGACUGAGUUGGUAGUAUAAUACUCCAACAAAC